GCUGACUGUGGUCAUGGAGCACUAUCUGGU
This 30-nucleotide non-coding RNA is filed under the name Homo sapiens (human). Lineage: Eukaryota; Metazoa; Chordata; Mammalia; Primates; Hominidae. The record is from RNAcentral.